Molecule: unclassified non-coding RNA, 329 nt
Filed under: soil metagenome
Description: partial contains 5.8S ribosomal RNA, internal transcribed spacer 2, and large subunit ribosomal RNA
Rfam family: 5.8S ribosomal RNA (bases 1-120)
Source: RNAcentral
GAUGAAGAACGCAGCGAAAUGCGAUAAGUAAUGUGAAUUGCAGAAUUCAGUGAAUCAUCGAAUCUUCGAACGCACAUUGCGCCCCUUGGUAUUCCGGGGGGCAUGCCUGUCCGAGCGUCAUUACAACCCUCAAGCUCAGCUUGGUGUUGGGCCCCGCCGCCCCGGCGGGCCCUAAAGUCAGUGGCGGUGCCGUCCGGCUCCGAGCGUAGUAAUUCUUCUCGCUCUGGAGGUCCGGUCGUGUGCUCGCCAGCAACCCCCAAUUUUUUUCAGGUUGACCUCGGAUCAGGUAGGGAUACCCGCUGAACUUAAGCAUAUCAAUAAGCGGAGGA